GUGCAUCUUAGUCCUUCUGCCUUUGGGUCUUACUGCUACUACUCAUUCUACGACUAAUAAAACAUUGGGGAGAUUUUCCAACGACUUUCUCGUUGUUUGAUGACCUCUAGGUCAAAGCUGGAAAAUAACUUUCCACUAGCUGUAGUCUAUUCUAUUUCAAUUCAGCUUCCUCUAAAAUAACAAUGUUACUAUUUAAAAUGUGAGAAUAGUAGAAUGUCAUGAAAGGAUGAUGGAUUGACUCCAUAUGUGAACAACGGGUUCUUUCUUCAGUUUGCGACACAGUAUGAUUGCACGGGCCGAAAUGAAUUUCAUGCCUCCCAUUUAUUGCGUCUCUCUGUAUGAAUGUGCCGGGAUGCCUUAAACAAUAAAUACAGUAGUUUCUCACAAACUGGCUUCAUAUUAGGGCUAAAGGGGGGAAAAAUAACCGUGGAGAGUAAAGUAAUUACCUUUCAGGGAUGAGUAUGAGAAGUCUGAAAGUAUUUGUAGUUGUAACUCCUGGUGUGUGUGUGUGUGUGUGUGCGAUGCAUUGGGCAUUUUAUUCUUUGCAGAAAUAAUGUCUGCUACACAGAUCUUAACCAGAUUGGGGACUGAAGGGAUGAACUGCUUCAGCAUCUCUCCCUCCCACCUCUAAAUACAUAUAAAGGAAAGGUUCUUUGGAAAAAAAGGAUAAUAGGUUCUCUUUUGCGUUUGUCAUUUGUCACAAAGCUUAGUUAAUGCUUUUUAAUUGCCCACUAUUUGCUGACAUUGUGCUUUAGUUUACUGUGUGGUACAGUGAGAGGGUGAUGCCUCUUUCAUCGGGACGAGCACGUGGAGGAGACGGGCGAUAAUUCUUCGGUCUGUUGAUUACAGUAAUCGAUGUUACGUUUAAGACAAAGUGGUUACCGGCUGGUGAGUGAUUUGAUUCUCAAAGAUUGGCAGGUGGAGCUGUGCGUGCCGCACGUAGACGGAGAAGGGUUGUGUAUCACAACAUCAUCAAGUGGUUCUACUCCACUAAACCGCGUCAUUCAAAAAAACAGGAAGAUGAAUACAUAUAAUAUAUGUUACAACUUUAAAAUUUAAACUUUCCUCUGUGCGACGCGGAUGUUGAGGCUUUGCAUUCACUUGAGAAAUUAAUUUGCACCUGAUUUUCUGCCUCAGCGCUAUUAUGAAGUCCAUGUUAAGAAUACCGACAACUAUCUUCUCUUGCUUCAAAUCAACAGCAUGAAUAUCUUAGAAUUCAGAGAAAAAAAUGUAAUUUGAAAACAAUGGGGGGUAUGUUGCAGAAUUCAAAUCAAAACAUGAGAGAUUAUAGUCACGCUAAUUUGGAAGGCGGGGCAAAUAUCUUUUCUUUAAUUUAAUUGCUAUUGAGACCAACAGACAUGACAAGACAAGAGAACAAAACUCUACCUUCACUUACUUCUUUCCAGAAGUUCUACCUUUCGUCUGGAGACUGAAUAAAACCAGGAGAUGUAAGGCAGAGUUUGUGCGAUAGCUAACUGGAGCAAAGCCGGGCGAAGCCGGCCCGGUACCUGUAAUCCCUCCGAGCUAAUAAAGGUUAAUCUGCUGAAGAUAUGAAGAUUUCAAGAUAGUUUGUUUUAGUUCUGUUUGUACAAACAGCCCUUUAAUCAAAAUGUCGAAGAAUGGACCGUGUCACUGAGUCUUAGAGCAGCUUUUCAAAAAGUAGGAAAAAGUCACGUGUAACGAAAUAUACUUUUUAAAAUAUGUUUUACUUACUGUGAACAUAAUCGGAAGCUAAUUUGGAAAUAGUAGUCAUCACAGCAGAUAUCACAAGCAGACAUCUCUCAUUUUAAAGCUCCAUGAUAAGAACCAAUAAAAAGUUGGCUGAGCAGAAAUUCAAAUUCCAACAAUAUGAUAGUGUCGGUACAAUGAGCCACGCCAUUACAGUCUGCUGAAGGGUUGCGUUUUUUAACUCACUUGCUGGUCCUCCAUUGUCUGCAGCAAGAAUUUAAAUAAGGUGUUUUGCUUGCUGGAGGAGAGCAACACGUUAGAACAUUGAUAAUGGAUACGAGGCACAUGUUCUUUUUAUUGUUAAUACAUAUGAUCCCUCUGUAAAAAUGGUGUUUUAAAUAGUAUCGACUAAAAAAUGCAUUUAAAUGAAAUCAUUUUGAGAGCAGAGGGGAGGGCCGUCUGGAAUACUAGUUGAAACCUUUUUAGGUUCAUAACAAGCACAUAUUCUGUUCCCUUGGAAGAACCCAUCCUGCAUCGAGUGUGUAGCCAGGUAGCUAUUUGGAGUCCGUCGCUUGUAACUUUGACAUUUAAUGUCAGAAAAGUGAAACGUGCCAGUCGAGAGGAGCACGAAGGCGUGCAGUGCGCGAGCUCCCUGCAUGUCGUUUCACCCCGACUCUUCACCGUCCACCGCGCCCUCGCUCUCUCUCUCUCUCUCUCUAACAAGCCGUCCCAGAUGUGCUGACAUGCAGUUCACCUUCGGCGCCGGAGGAGCAGGGAAGGGAAAAGACCUUUGAAGUGAAACGGAUCCCCAUCAGUAAGCUGCAAGUCGCAGCUUAAAGCUCUAAGAUGGAAAGAGACAGCAGUUCGGCACACGAUUGAAGGGACGGGAAGAUGGACUUCAGCCGCACAGAGAGGACAAAUCAAAAGACACACUGUGCAGAGUGACACCGCCCUCGCCCGCGUUACUUACAUCCAACUGACACGUCGACUCACAGACUGCAAACGAGCAGGAGAUGAGGUUUCGACCCAAUGAGUCACAUCUCGUCUGGCUCCGUGUUAUACAUAAAGAUGACGGGCAGUGUGUGUGUGUGUGUGUGUGUGUUCUGAACCGGCAUGUGCUCAUCAGUGUCAGGGCUUCGUCCCGCCGAAUGUUUACGUAUUUCAAUACGUUAAAAUCUUGUUUUGCACGAAUAGAUUUAGCAUUGAUAUUAUUGUAGAAAGAAACAUUUACAUUUUUAUUUAAGUGUCAGACGUGCAAUUAUGGUUAAAAGAAAGGUUAUUAUGUAGAGUAAAAAUGGAAAAAAUGUGUGCAGAAACCAAUCAGUACAAAGAAAAUGCAAGCGCACAACAAUGCUUUUUCCACUGAGUAGGUGACAAAACAAGUGGAGAGAGUGCAGCAAAAGAAGAAUCACAGAUCGACUUCGACAUCCCUCGAACCACGCUGCUGGCCUGAUUUAGAAACAAGCUUCCUUCGCAGGUGUCCGUGCUCCUGCUUCAGGUAAAGGUGAGGAGCUCUGAUAUCUUGAAGGAACAUGGAACAGAAGCACUGCCCUGCUGCUUUACAAAAAAAGAGCCUUUGAGGUGAUUCGGGUACUCGAUCCCCUGCAGAAGUGCUCCAUGCAGCCUGGAGGCAGAGCCACAACACGCUCCAGGGGUCACGCUUCUCAAAUGCCUUUGGAGGAGGAGGUGACCGGAGGAAAGACGUAAGGAUGUACGGGUUGCCUAGCUUGACCCCGAUGAACAGCGAGAGAUCGUGCGGCUGGGUGGUGAGAGCUACAAUAAGACACUAUUGUUAAUGUACUGCAGGCAUUCGCCUUAUUGGAGCGAGGACCAACUGAAAGGCAUCAUUUACUUCCACCAGAUGAGGUUUUUUUUUUUCAAUCUAUGUAAAAUGUUAUGUAAAAUUGUAAUUCUACCCACUCUUCAGAAAGCGAGAUAUUUAUCUCGUCUUUUCCACAACACUGAACAAUAGCUGCGUUGCUGAAUUAUGUAUUUUUUCAACACGAGCGGAGGCAUUUCAAUGUCGUUGUUUUUUUGGACCGUGCCGAUCCAGCUGCUUGCCAUUAAAACGUAUGAGAAGGCAGAAGAAAGCUCAGAAGACGAGGAGUGAAUGGAUGGUGAGGCAGGAAGUAGAAAGGUACAGAAAAAGAGGGAGUGGGAGGAUGAGAGGGGAAGUGGAUGGAUGUUAUUGAACAAUCCCAAUAUAUCUGUCUCUCUGCAAUAUAACACCAUUUUCCGAAUAAAAUCUUUCUUCUUAAA
Non-coding RNA from Gasterosteus aculeatus aculeatus (three-spined stickleback), 3927 nucleotides. The record is from RefSeq and is a predicted model, not a curated record. Lineage: Eukaryota; Metazoa; Chordata; Actinopteri; Perciformes; Gasterosteidae.